This 264-nucleotide ribosomal RNA is filed under the name Escherichia coli. Its description in RNAcentral is "partial 23S ribosomal RNA". It matches the Rfam family "Bacterial large subunit ribosomal RNA", at positions 1350 to 1617 of the family's 2925-position model. Lineage: Bacteria; Pseudomonadati; Pseudomonadota; Gammaproteobacteria; Enterobacterales; Enterobacteriaceae. The record is from RNAcentral.
GGUUCCUGUCCAACGUUAAUCGGGGCAGGGUGAGUCGACCCCUAAGGCGAGGCCGAAAGGCGUAGUCGAUGGGAAACAGGUUAAUAUUCCUGUACUUGGUGUUACUGCGAAGGGGGGACGGAGAAGGCUAUGUUGGCCGGGCGACGGUUGUCCCGGUUUAAGCGUGUAGGCUGGUUUUCCAGGCAAAUCCGGAAAAUCAAGGCUGAGGCGUGAUGACGAGGCACUACGGUGCUGAAGCAACAAAUGCCCUGCUUCCAGGAAAAG